AGAGUUUGAUCAUGGCUCAGAUUGAACGCUGGCGGCAGGCCUAACACAUGCAAGUCGAACGGUAACAGGAAUCAGCUUGCUGAUUUGCUGACGAGUGGCGGACGGGUGAGUAAUGUCUGGGAAACUGCCUGAUGGAGGGGGAUAACUACUGGAAACGGUAGCUAAUACCGCAUAACGUCGCAAGACCAAAGAGGGGGACCUUCGGGCCUCUUGCCAUCGGAUGUGCCCAGAUGGGAUUAGCUAGUAGGUGGGGUAACGGCUCACCUAGGCGACGAUCCCUAGCUGGUCUGAGAGGAUGACCAGCCACACUGGAACUGAGACACGGUCCAGACUCCUACGGGAGGCAACAGUGGGGAAUAUUGCACAAUGGGGGAAACCCUGAUGCAGCGACGCCGCGUGAAGGAAGAAGUAUCUCGGUAUGUAAACUUCUAUCAGCAGGGAAGAAAGUGACGGUACCUGACUAAGAAGCCCCGG
RNAcentral lists this ribosomal RNA (474 nucleotides) under uncultured bacterium. RNAcentral describes it as "bacterial SSU rRNA". It matches the Rfam family "Bacterial small subunit ribosomal RNA", at positions 8 to 496 of the family's 1533-position model. The record is from RNAcentral.